GAAAAGCUCCUCCAGCCACCACCAACCUCCGCGGUUUUAACCAGUGGUCUAACGACGUUUCAUUUGCUUCCCUGUUUUUGUUUCUCUCUCCCCCCCCCCCACACCUCUCUCUCUCUCUCUCUUCCUCUCCUCCCUCUCUCUCUCUCUCUCUCUCUUCCUCUCCUCCCUCUCUCUCUCUCUCUUCCUCUCCUCUCUCUCUCUCUCUCUCUCUCUUUCUCUCCCUCUCUCUCUCUCUCUCCCUCUCUCUCUCUCUCUCUCUCUCUCUCUCUCUCUCUCUCUCUCUCUCUCUCCCUGCUCCUGUUGUGUUACGAGCCCUUGGCUGUUUCCUUUAAGACGCGGCUACCUAAAGCACAACACUUGUCUGACCUGUGUGGAGAUUUGGAACCCAUCAGAUUCUCUUCAAGGCGAGUUCCCCUGAUAUAAACACAGUGCAAAGAAAGGGCUGAUACAUUAAGAACUGCCGGCAACAUUAUUGCUGAUGCGUUUCUCGCAGAUCCAGUAUGACAAGACCUACUACAUUAAACGUCAAGCCGUGAACGUGCUGUCCGCAGCUCUGGGGUUGACUAGGUGGCAGUGACCUCCGUUGCAGAGAAAGCCUGUCGUUCCUUCUCUACACCACUUUGUGAGUGCACCAUGACAUAUCGUGCUUCUGUUUAUGAAACCAAGAUCCUUCAACACUUCAACCAAUAGUUCAUAGAGAACUACCAAUGAGCUGCGGUGCAUUGGUCAUGUUAUUUUGGACUUCCCUUUCAGUUCAGGGAAGGAGCACGAAUGUCCUGAAGUGAGAACCUCGAUGCAUUUGGUAUGUGGUUAGUGUUGCCAACUUUGAUCGGGAAGUUAAUUUCAGAACUGGAGGAUCUGCUGCCUGUAGCCUUGUUAUCUUUCACCCCUCUCUGCCUUGUGAGAUAUUGAUGGAUGGAAGAUCUCAAGAGAAACUGGAUCCACAAAACUGCAGAAAACGAGUAUGGUCAGAACAGCAGUACAGGUGGCCGGACUAAUUGAGCAUGGUUUUGAAGAAUCGGAAAGCAGAGGGAAGAAGAUGUUCCUGAAUUGCUGAGUGUGUGCCUUCAGGCUUCUGUACUUCCUUCUUGAUGGUAACAAUGAGAAGAGGGCAUGUCCUGGAUGGUAGGGUCCUUAGUGAUGGACGCUGCCUUUCUGAGGCACCACUCUUUGAAGAUGUCUUGGAUACUAUGGAGGACCCCAUCUAAGAGUGCCUGCUGGCGUUGGAUGUAAGGAACUUUCUCCAGGAAACACGCACAUGAGCCAUCCAGAUGUGAAAAAUCAGCAGAGUAAGCAGAGGGCCACCCCUGCAACAUCUCUGCCUGCGGAAGUUCAUUCCAAAACAGCAUGCAUGUAAUUACUAGUAGCAGUUUACUAUUAAUGGGUUUCAGUGCAAACUGAUUGUAUCCUCUCAAAUUUGCUGUACUAAAUCUCUAUGCAACAAAAUGAAGUGAUUGAGACUUUUGUGUUCGUGGUCCACUGUUGCUGUAGUAUUUCCACUUCAAGAUUCAACCUAUUAUGCAUUCAGAGAUGCUCUUCCACAUACCACUGUUGGUACGCAUAGUUAUUUAAAUUACAGUUGCUUUCCUUUCAGCUUGAUCCAGUCUGACUGUUCUCCUUUGACUUCUCUCUUUAAUAAGGUGUAUUUGCCCACAGAACCACUGGAUGCUUUUUUGUUUUUCACACCAUUCUCUGUAAACUUCAGGGACUGUUGUGUGUGAAAAUCCCAGGAGGUCCGCAGUUUCUGAGAUACUCAAGCCAACCUGUCUAACACCAGCCAUCAUUCCACUGUCUAAAUCACCUGGAUCACACUUCUUCCCCAUUCUGACGUUAGAUCUGAAGAACUGAACCUCUUGACCACGUCUGCUUGCUUUUAUGCAUUGGGUUGCUGCAGCAUGAUUGUCUGAUUAGAUAAAUGCAUUAAUGAGCAGGUAUAUCUAAUAAAGUGGCCACUGGGUAUAUAUUCUUCUCUAUCAGAAUUCCUCCUAUAUGCCUAAGAUGGUGUGAUUAAUAUGCAUUUUAGAGUGUGCUGCUCCAAUUGAUCAGAAGUACCCACUGCUUUAUUGCACAUCCUAGUUUAAUAAAGUGGAGCAAGGACCAAGGGAUGACUGCAGACUUUGGAAAGUUUAAAUUCAUUUGCUUUUUUGUGGUAAGUUUUUAAAGGCAACAAAUGUUUGAAAUCUGUGUUUGGUGUACUCCACCCAUUUCCAUUUUGAUUUAAUUCACACAAUAUUUCCCUUCUGGCUCUUUGGGAACAUCAUACACCCAAUCAAUUUUAAUAUGAGGUCUAACUAGAUGUCAUCAAGAGAGAGAACUGAAGCAAAGAGAGCCCCAAGGGGAAGGCAAAUGCCAACCCAGAGACUGACAAUGACUCAAACAUGCAAGACAUUCAUUUGAUUCUUUAAAAAUGAAAUUCACAUUUCCCAUAAACAAGCAUUUGCUUGCACGUAUGUUCCAUUUCUAACUUCUGAUAAAUUACAAAAUAAAAUAGUCUUCGUUAAUAAAAUGCACGUGUCCUAGACCAGUGGUAUAUUAAAAUUCAGAACAUAACAGUGCUGCUGCAAGAUUCUGCCUAUUCAGUUACUCAAUGAGUACAAUCUCAAUGCAUUCUCCAAUUGCUUUCAUAAUUUGUUUAGUGUAAUUUAUGGAUGUUGGUAACUUAGUUUCCACUUCUUAUGCAAUAACUUCCCUGAAAUGUUACUCUUUUUUGUCUUUUAUGUUAAUAGUGGAGCUCUCCAGGACUACAAGUUGUAGGAGUCCAGAAAUGGAAUGGUGCCUGUGUGUCUGUACCACUAUGUAUCAAGUAAAUAAAAGCACGCAUUCGGCGGAUAGGGUUAGCUGGUGUAUUCAUGUUGUGGUGAGAGAGCGCGAAAGGUCGAUGCACAUGCGUAGACAAUAGAUCAAUGUGCAUAGGUAAAUUAUCAGUUCAUGUGUAGUGCUAAGGGGAGUCGUUGCUCUAAAGGAAAUAGAUUUACUCAUUAUGUUUCCUCCCUGUUUAGAUUAAUGCAACAUAAAACACAUACGUAAUAAAAUACUAAAAACUGUACAUGUACCAAAACGUUCAAUUUCCCUUUAACAAACAAAAUUCAAAUAAACAUAUUUUCAAAAUAACAGUCCAUGAUUAACUUCACCAGCCUAAAGGUUCAGUCUUUUGUGUGGCACUCUUUCAUUCAGGAUAGCACCUUUGGACCUGUGGAGUGGACUUAGUUUUGGCAGGUGCUUUGCCAAAACCACCUUUCUCUAUUGCAGGUGUCACAUUGCUGUUGGUGACAUGAUCAUCACUGAGAGGUAAGUUCAGUUGAUGUAAUCUGUCCAUCUUGUUGGAUGCAGACAACCCAGGUGUGUUCUUUGGCUGAACAUCCAUAUGUGGUCCAUACAACAUCUCCAUGUCUGAUCUCCAACAUCCACUGUGUACAUCAGCGGUCCAGUUCUUGUGGCCAUCCUACUGGGUGUCCUCUUGUCUUCUCGGUAAUCAUGUGCUGGGAAUUCCUCUCCAACCUUGAACUGGCUGAACUACUUAUCCGGCACUUCCCUCUGUAGAUUUGGCUUCAGGAAGUCUAUGUGAGAUCUCAGAUUCCUGCUCAUGAACAGCAUUGAAGGUGUUUGGCUUGUCAUUACACAAACAGAGUUCCAACACACAAAAAGAAAGUUGUCCACCCUUUUCUGUGGAGAAGUGUCCUGCUUGUCCAUAGCUUUAAUGGAUCUUCAAGGUUUGGAUAAAUCUUUCAGCUAACCCAUUCGUUGCUGGGUGGUGAAGGAGCUGACUGAAAUGUUUGAUGCCAUUUUUCUUCAUGAACAGUUUGAACUCUUUUGACGUGUAUUGUGGUCCACUGUCACUCACAGUUUGUUCAGCUAAGCCAUUUCUGGCAACGAUAGUCCUCUGUGUGGAAGCAGUUUUUUCUGAUGUGGUUAAUUUCCUUGGUAUGGCUGCCAGACACUUUGAAUGAUCAAGCACAACAAUCAGAAACAUAGAGUCCAUUAAUGACCCAGCAAAGUCAAUGUGUAUCCCUUGCUAUGGUGAAGAUGGCCAAUCCCACAGGUGUAACGGUGCCUGUUGGUGUGGAUUUUGAAUUUUUCAGCAUCACAACCAGCUUUUCGUUAAGUCUUCAAUCUGUUUCCAGCCACCACAUGUAGUUCUGUGCAAGACUCUUCAGCUUGACUGGACCCAGGUGACCUUCAUGCAGAUUCUCUAGCACCGGUGUGCGGUUUAGAGGGAACCACAACACGAGAUCCACACAACAACGUUAUUUGACAUACAGACAGUUGGUCUUGUCUCACUGAGAACUCCGGGAACAUAGGAUUUCUAAUGAGAUAACCAUCCAUGUCAUGGACUUUUGACAAUGUUGGGUCUUUUCUUGUUUUCCUUUGUACUUCAGAAUUUGUUACCGGCAACUGAUCCACCAAUAUUCUGUGAAACAGUAUGAAAGUCUUCCCUCUUCAGUUGCUAACAGUGUAAGAUAUAACAAGCUGUCAGCAUUGCUGCGUUGUUUGGUACUCUUGAACUCACAAGUGUAGGCUCUGAGAAAAAGUGCCCAACGUUGCAACCGGGUAGCAGUCAUCACUGGGAUUCCUUUCCUGGGAUUGAAAGUGAACACAGAAGGCUUGUGAUCUGUCACUAGAGGAAACUUUUGUCUGUAGAGUUAGUGGUGAACUUCUUUAUUCCCCAUACUAGACUAAAGGUCUCUCAGUCUUGUGUGUAGUUGCAUUCUGCGCUUGUCAGUGAUCUUGAAGCAAAUGCAAUCAGAUGUUCAGAUCAAUCUUUAAUUGUGUGUGACAAAACAGCUCCAACUGCAUAAGGUGAUGCAAUUCACGCCAGUCUGAUGGGCAGAGAUGGGCCAUAAUGGGUGAGCAGUUCAUCUGAUGUUAUUAGUCUCUUUGUUCCCUUGAAUGCUUUUUUCUGACCAUUCCCACUUCGCUCCUGUCUGUUAUCGUGUGUUCAAUGGAUGCAGCACUGUAGCAAAGCUUGUGAGGAAUUAGUUGUAGUAGUUUUCAAGGCCCAAGUAUGACCUGAGGUGUGACACAUUUUCCAGUUUGGGUGCCAGUAGCAUUGCGUCAAUCUUGUGGCUUAUGUAAGUCCUGCUUGUCGAUGACAUGUCCACAAUAUGUUUCACUUUUGAAACACUCUAAUUUCUCUCUCUUUGCACGCAGACCAUACCUCUGCUUGGCUCCUCAAUCUCCAUUUGCAUGUCAGCUUGUGACAACUCAAUCUUUAAAAACCUCUCCCCGCCUGCCAAAGGUGCAAAAUGUUUUCUAUUUGUGGCAGAGAACAUUGCACAGUUUGAGGCACAGGGUUGAUGCUCACUUUGAAGUCCCCUCAAAUGCGAACAGCUCUGGCCUUCCCUUUUUUGAUCACUGGAACAAUGGGCAUGGCCCAAUAACACCACUCAGCCUUGCAGAAAAUGCCAGACACUUCAAAGCUCUGAAGUUCAGUAUCCACUUUAGGACAUAAUGCGUAAGGCACUGGGUGCACUUUAUAGCAUCUUGCUGAUGUUACUUCAUCGGGUUCAAUUCUGGCCAUCAUGCCAUUAAGUUUAACAAUACCCUUCUCAAACACAUUUUCAUUAGCAUUAAGUAGCUGUGACAGUCUCUGGUUCCAUUUGGGCUGCAGUUGCCUGUUAAUGAUAUAUUGAGAGCUUUGAUUGUGUGCCAGUCAAGUUGAAUUUUUCUCAACCAUUCAUCUCCAAAAAGAGCUAGCCCUCCACUUUUCAAUGCAUAAAGCUCCAACUGCAGUGUUUGUCCUCCGUACAUCACAUUCACUCUCAGUUUGCCUGUAGGAGACAACUUCACUUGUGUAGGUCUUCAGCAUUGCUGUGGUCUUUUCUAAUGGCAGCUUAGGAAACAGUCUGUUGUAGUCAGCCAGUAAAAUUAUAGGCAAAGUUGACCCCGUAGCCAGCUCCAUUUUCAUAUUUCACACCUGACACAUCUAUUGUAAUCCAUAUGAUUUUGUGAUCUGCUUCAGUAAUGCUAUACAGUUCCAGUCAUGACUGUUUACCUUUGUCGGACUCUGUGUUCUCUGAUUUUGUUUCACAUUCAGUCACAUUCAGUCACUUUAUGCAUUUGUUUAGUUUUGUGUUUGAAGCUUUUCGCUCUGUAUUUGUUUUUCUCUAUGGUUGUGCUUUUUGUUUGACUUGCCCACUCUCUCCAUGUGACCUUGUCUGUGACACUUCCUGCAAACUUGUUCUUGACAAAAGUCAUUUUAUUUGCCACAUCAAUAAUAUUUUUGGCUUUUUGCACCAUUCAGGGGCAACUUGUGCAUUUCACAUUCUAAACUCUUUUUCUGUAGUUCUGCAACAUCGUUUGCUGCUGUCUCUAACGAUAUUGCAAUGGUCAAUGCCCAUUCUAAGGUUCGCUCUCUUUUUUACAGUAGCCUCUUUUGAGUGUUUUGACUAUGCAUUCCACGUACAAGCCUGUCCCUUAAUGCAACAGAAAGCCCAUCUCCAAUGUCACAGUAUUGGGAAAGUUUACACAGUUCUGCAAUGUAUUCAGAAAUUCUUUCAUCCUUUGACUGAUUCCUUUUGUUAAAUCUGAAUCUCUCAACCAUUACCAACUGUUAAUCAAUAACAGAAUGGAUUAAAAGGAAGAAAAUUUGUGUUUUUGAAUGGCUGCGUCAAAGUCUUGACUUUAAUCCUAUAGAAAUGUUGUGGAAGAGCCUGAAGCAAGCAGUUCAUGCAAGGAAGCCCACCAACAUCCCAGAGUUGAAGGAAUUUUGUAAGGAAGAAUGGCCUAAAAUUCUUCCAAGCCAGUGGAAUCGAUCAACAGGCUGAUCUCUGCCUCUACCUCUUUUAUGCACUGAAAGAUGCCCGACAUUGGAGAGAAUCCAGAAGUAGUUCAUGAAAGUGAUCUGGAGAAUGAAAGGAUUAAAUGUUUGAGGAGCAUGUUGUGUCUGUGAUUGA
Hypanus sabinus (Atlantic stingray) is the source of this 6893-nucleotide long non-coding RNA. RefSeq lists it as uncharacterized. The record is from RefSeq and is a predicted model, not a curated record. The transcript is spliced from 8 exons. NCBI's taxonomy places the organism in Eukaryota, Metazoa, Chordata, Chondrichthyes, Myliobatiformes, Dasyatidae.